UUAACUUUUGUUCAAGCCUGUCUAGAUCUUUUAUCAGUCUAGAAAGAUGUUGGAGAAAAGACAUCAUCCUCUUCUAUAAUCUCCAUCUGUAAUUAGACUAACAACUGGACCAGUCAAUGCAGGCAACUUACUCUCCAUUCGACCUUGCAGGUCACACCAUGGUCUCAAGAGGGAAAAUGAGUGCUCUAUGGAUUGAACAGAAAAAGGUGAAUCAAAACUCCAACCAUCUGUAUGAGGGUCUGGAUGGAUAAAGGAUGCCCACUGGAGCUGGAAAUGAUGGAUCAGGUCAUUUUCAUUUGUCACAUUUACAAAGAAGCACACUCUAAGGAUUGCGUUACCCUGUCUGUGGCAAAUACACUAGACAAAAGUAUUGGGAGGCCUCAUUCUAAUAAACAUGUUUAUUUAUUCCAGUAUGUCCAAUCAAAACAAAUAAAAAUGCUAUACCAUAUAAUACCACUACAAAUAAUUUUGAUUUUUGUUGCAACAGUUUUGUAAGUGCCUUUUUCUGUUCCGAAAUGACUACAGCUUCUUGUACAAGUCAUUGAUAGGUUUAGGUGAUGAGUUUUUGGCUAAAAACCUUUGAGUCAUAUCAAAGGUGUUAGCUGAGUUAAGGUCUGGGGUUUAUUCAGACCAGUCAAAGUUCUUCCACACCAGACUGAAUCACUAAUUUUCUGUUUGAACCUUACUUUGUUUGUAGGGUCAUUCUUAAGUUGGUAUUGAAAAGGGCCCUGCCAAAACUCUUGCUAUAAAUUUAGCAUCAAACGGUUUUUCUAGAAUAUCAUAUGCUGUAGCAUUAAGAUUUGUGCUCAUGGAAAUAAGUAAAGUAUUUAAACCUGUUUAUUAGAAGGAGGUGUCGCAAUAGUUAUGUCUAUAUAGUUUAUGUUUAACAAGCCAAAAUAACUAGGGCUGCUUCUUUUUAAGAACUUUUGGGUAUUUUUAAAUCAGCCAGAGGAAUAACAGUCCUUAAAUGUGUAAUGUACUGCCAUAAUUUUGUAAUGAUCAAACGUGAGGUCAGAUUCUUGUUAACCUACUGUGUUCUUUCUUGAUGGUUAGCCGAGUGUCCCAGGACAGAAAAUCUGUUUCGUAUGGAUCAGAGUCAGACAUUAACAUCUAAUAUGUAAUAUCUAGUGAUAUGUUUUCUUAGAUAAUGCUGUGAACAAAUGCUCUUUUACCUUGAAUAUUAGGUGGAUCCACACUUGAACCAUCUGUAUGAUGAUCUGCACCCACUGGAUCUGUAAAUGGUGGUGCAGAGACCAAGUGUAGUAGGGUACACUACUAUGCAGGUGACAUUCUUUUGUUUAUUGAAGCUAUGACAAAUAAUUUGUCUGUUUAGUUAAUGUUUUAUACAGUGUAACUGUACCUAAACAUUGUUCCUUGAGGUCCUCUGCUAUUUACAUUUUGUAUGUCUUCCUUAUUUAACACACCUUAUUCAAAUCAUCAGCUCAUUAGUAGAGAUCUUCAUGAACUGAACUGAGGCUGUGUCCAAAUGUUCACACUUGUUGUCUUUGCACUAGACUACUUACAUUAC
This is a non-coding RNA of Paramisgurnus dabryanus, 1528 nucleotides long. The record is from RefSeq and is a predicted model, not a curated record. NCBI's taxonomy places the organism in Eukaryota, Metazoa, Chordata, Actinopteri, Cypriniformes, Cobitidae.